GCUGGGCGUGGUGGCGCCCGUCUGUAGUCCCAGCUACUCAGGAGGCUGAGGUGGGAGGAUCACUUGAGCCUGGGAGGCAGAGGUUGCAGUGAGCCGAGAUCAUGCCACUGCACUCCAGUCUAGGCGACAGAGUGAGACUCCAUCUCAA
Molecule: small RNA, 148 nt
Filed under: Pongo abelii (Sumatran orangutan)
Lineage: Eukaryota; Metazoa; Chordata; Mammalia; Primates; Hominidae
Description: Metazoan signal recognition particle RNA (ENSPPYG00000031729.1)
Source: Rfam by way of RNAcentral